Dermacentor albipictus is the source of this 883-nucleotide long non-coding RNA. RefSeq lists it as uncharacterized. NCBI's taxonomy places the organism in Eukaryota, Metazoa, Arthropoda, Arachnida, Ixodida, Ixodidae. The record is from RefSeq and is a predicted model, not a curated record.
CGACGGCGAACGCGCAAACAGUGGUACGAGAGCGUUCGCGCGGUUACGCAGAGCGACGCUGACGCUCAACACAGGAACGAGUACCUAAGAGUGGCGCUCUAAGGGGAGGACAGUAUUAGCACGGGAAAGCGAAACGCGUGAUCAUCUAAUUUUCUGGCCAAACGCUUGCAGCGGGUAGGAGCCACACGCUCGAUAGGAAACAACAUCUCUCUAGGAGGGUUUGUGCCAUUCAAGGAGGUUAAAGAAAAUAACCUCCUUGGUGCCAUUGCAGAAGGUAUCAUCAUCAACACUGCCAAGAAGCAGAACAUCGCCGCAGCUAGCCCUGAAUGGUGUGACCUGGUUGGCCCGAUUGUGGUAGCUGCCUCGGUGACUGGCUGGCUGUGCGAGAGGCGACGCUGCGAAACUCGGGUCUGGUCGCACGAGCUGCUCGAAUAAAGAAGGCUUCAGAUUACGACAGGUACGUCACCGGAGCCCUGGAGCGAGUUUCCCGGUAUCCUGCCCUACUGGACGAGGUUGCCAUGGAGGCCCGUAUCGACAAAGCAGAGCUCACUGUCUUGGUGCGAGACCGCCUGAAAAGAACCGAAAGCAUGGACGGAUUUAUGCGGGCCGCCGGAGUGGUCAGGGAGCGAGUCGUUUGCCAUCCACCGCCGAGCGACGACCGUAUGCAGCUGGAUGACCUGAUCGAGGACUGCUAGAGGCAUUUGCGACGAUACCUCGUGAUUGACGAUGUCAAGGACAGCAUUUGCAAGAUCUAAAACAUCUGGGCCGUGAUCAACUUUGUCAGGGACCCAGAGAACCUGAGCUUGCUUUAACCACUGACAAAAGUAGUAUUCAGCACCCCGUGUAUGAAUAUUGUCGAUUAAAAAAUAUUUCUAUUAGAAUA